UCAUUCGGUACACAUAACCUUCCUUUUCCAAUCACCCAUCUAUCAUGGCCUCUAUAAAUCAAAAAAGAAAAUCCAAAAUUGAUGGUAAAAGUAUAACUAAUGGAAAUACAACAACAGUUUAAGAACCUGUCAAUGUCAAGUUCUAUGAACUGCUGCUAAUGUCAAGUUUAUUAUGACCUUCACCUCUAGUCCUCUAACUUCUUUUACCUGUUUUCCUAUUGGUAGAGGAAUUACUUAAGUAAAUAUUGCGAGCUCAGAUCGUGCUCUGUAGACAUGUAGCUAUCAGCUCAUGCUCUGUAGACAUGUAACUGUCAGUCAAUAACUCAGUGGCUGCACCAAA
This 340-nucleotide long non-coding RNA is filed under the name Malus domestica (apple). Its description in RNAcentral is "long non-coding RNA (MDOM_LNC004124)". Lineage: Eukaryota; Viridiplantae; Streptophyta; Magnoliopsida; Rosales; Rosaceae. The record is from RNAcentral.